Molecule: ribosomal RNA, 305 nt
Filed under: uncultured bacterium
Lineage: Bacteria
Description: bacterial SSU rRNA
Rfam family: Bacterial small subunit ribosomal RNA
Source: RNAcentral
UCCUACGGGGGGCAGCAGUGAGGAAUAUUGGUCAAUGGCCGAGAGGCUGAACCAGCCAAGUCGCGUGAGGGAAGAAUGUCCUAUGGAUUGUAAACCUCUUUUGUCAGGGAGCAAAGUCACCCACGUGUGGGUGUUGGAGAGUACCUGAAGAAAAAGCAUCGGCUAACUCCGUGCCAGCAGCCGCGGUAAUACGGAGGAUGCGAGCGUUAUCCGGAUUUAUUGGGUUUAAAGGGUGCGCAGGCGGCACGGCAAGCCGGCGGUCAAAUCGCGGGGCUCAACCCCGCCCAGCCGUCGGAACUGCCGGG